ACUAAAGUGAAGAGUUAAGAGAGGAGGAAAAGAGGAAAUUAAAAUGAUGAUUUGUGAAAUUGUCAUGGUAACUAGCACCCAAAUAUGAAAAAUAUAAAGAAAUAUGCAGUCUAAUUUUUUUUUUCCUGUAUGAGGUGUGGAACUUGGGCUGUCCAAAAAGGAAACAGUGCAGGCCUGGGGCGUGCUGAUGCACAGGGACAGUGGGAGAUAAAAGGAAAACACAAGAGUGAAGAAGCCGUUCUUCAGUGUGUAUAAAAGCUCUCUCUCUCCAGAAAAGGCAAACGAGCAUUCAAGAGAAAGGCUUAAGUAGGUAGUUCAGAGGAAGGAAUGUGAAGAAUAAUGAAUAUUCUUGCCAUGAUAGCACACAAGUUGGUUUACACAGAUUAUUUCCUAGGAGGUGGGUAAGGCUUAUGGGACAGGCCCAGCAUGAAGCUCCAUCCUGUGUGCUGCAAGGAGUUGAGGAAAAUAAGAUUUAAAUUGUAUUUCAAAGUCCAAGAACACAACAUUUACAGAUCAUGAGGCUCUGUGUAAUAGCCUACCAUCUUUGCAGAGUCGUAUCAACGCCAUGGCCUCAGCUUACUGUGCUGGCCUCAGGGAGGAAUAAGAAAGGCCACCAUCAUGAACUUGCCCCCAGGGAGGAAAGGGCCAGUGGGCAGAUUGCAAAUUUCAUUCAUCUCAGUGGCUUUCACUUGCCAUCCUUGGACCUUUCUCUGAGAGCAGGACAUCCUUGUGGCAUGGUUCCCUAUUCAAAAUUGGUGCCCAGACAAAAUGCAACACAGUAGCAACAAGCAAACCUCUGUGGGUGGUGGAGGAAUGGUUCUUCAAUGGCUGCCUUGGUUAUAUCCAUGACCUUCCCACACGACCAGUAAGCCACACAAAGCCUUCUCCAGGAACCACUUAUCUUAGGAGUAAUUUUCAAAAUUUGGAGCUUAUAGGAGUUGCUCCUGAAAGUAUCAGGUGACAAGGCAGGCAGAAGAGAGGUUAGUGAAAGGGGUGUGUGCUUAAGGGUUGGGAGGAAGAUUCAGUCCCCGGUUCCCCAUGUCAUCUCUGGGAUCUGGACUGGACAUAGUCUUUUGGAGCCUUCUAGCCUCAGCCUGACCCCGGGUAGUGAUACCAACCGGAAGGACUUGGGUGAGGGAGAAGUGGAAACGAGAAGGAUUCACACUGCAAUUUCUUGGUGUCCUUCCCACAUUGAUUAUGUGCAAGUAUCAGAAUGUUAGGGGGAAAAUACAUAUCAGGCAGGGAAUUGCACUAAUAAAUCUCCUAAUUCUCUUCCAGCUGUGUAAUUUAUGACUCUGUUGGUGAUGACUUAUUGGCUUGCAGGUGAUAUAAUCAAGGACACCCAGAGACUAACAAAGUGAAGGGAAAUUACAUCUAUGGCAACAGCAGAAUAAACAGUACAAAAUAACAGAUUUUGUGAGACUAGGAAAAUAAGGCAGCUAAAGAGUGGGGGCAGCCCACUGCAUCGAGAAGCAGGCUUCUGUGGCAAGCCUGACUCUGCCCCUUAACCAACUGUGAGGUUUUACUCCAGUGAAGAAAGCUCUCUGGGCUUCAGCUCGGUCAACUGCAGCAUGAAGAGGACAACACUAACCUCUUAGGGGCACUCUGGGGAUUAGAGGAGACUUCAAUGAAUAUGAAAACAGCUAGCAAAUUGUUAGCACUUAAUAGAUGCUAAACUAAUUUCAGUUGAAAUACAGUAAUUUAAAGAAAUAAAACAUUUACAAAAUAAGGGCCAUGCACAUGGGGAUUGCAAAGUUUAUCCAGUACAGACAGCUGAAAAGAUGCUAAGACAGAGGUUCCCAAUGGUGCUGCACACUGACAUCUCAGAGGCAUCUUGAAAGGUACCAAUGCC
RNAcentral lists this long non-coding RNA (1852 nucleotides) under Homo sapiens (human). RNAcentral's name for it is "HSALNT0340741". The record is from RNAcentral. Lineage: Eukaryota; Metazoa; Chordata; Mammalia; Primates; Hominidae.